RNAcentral lists this ribosomal RNA (481 nucleotides) under uncultured Pseudomonas sp. RNAcentral describes it as "bacterial SSU rRNA". It matches the Rfam family "Bacterial small subunit ribosomal RNA", at positions 908 to 1382 of the family's 1533-position model. Lineage: Bacteria; Pseudomonadati; Pseudomonadota; Gammaproteobacteria; Pseudomonadales; Pseudomonadaceae. The record is from RNAcentral.
AAUUGACGGGGGCCCGCACAAGCGGUGGAGCAUGUGGUUUAAUUCGAAGCAACGCGAAGAACCCUUACCAGGCCUUGACAUGCAGAGAACUUUUCCAGAGAUGGAUUGGUGCCUUCGGGAACUCUGACACAGGUGCUGCAUGGCUGUCGUCAGCUCGUGUCGUGAGAUGGUUGGGUUAAGUCCCGUAACGAGCGCAACCCUUGUCCUUAGUUACCAGCACGUUAAGGUGGGCACUCUAAGGAGACUGCCGGUGACAAACCGGAGGAAGGGUGGGGAUGACGUCAAGUCAUCAUCGGCCCUUACGGCCUGGGCUACACACGUGCUACAAUGGUCGGUAACAAAGGGUUGCCAAGCCGCGAGGUGGAGCUAAUCCCAUAAAACCGAUCGUAGUCCGGAUCGCAGUCUGCAACUCGACUGCGUGAAGUCGGAAUCGCUAGUAAUCGUGAAUCAGAAUGUCACGGUGAAUACGUUCCCGGGCCUU